Molecule: long non-coding RNA, 134 nt
Organism: Etheostoma spectabile (orangethroat darter)
Lineage: Eukaryota; Metazoa; Chordata; Actinopteri; Perciformes; Percidae
Exons: 3
Source: RefSeq, a predicted model, not a curated record
UUGAGUGUCCCAAAUUCGCUGUAACGUAACCCCAUUUGUACAGGUCCUAUCCCCUGACCAAUCGGCUAUCCUAACCUUAACCACUCAAGGUCAAAUGACUUACCCCAACCAAUCGGCUAGCUUGGUAGGGCGGG